Molecule: long non-coding RNA, 225 nt
Filed under: Mytilus galloprovincialis (Mediterranean mussel)
Lineage: Eukaryota; Metazoa; Mollusca; Bivalvia; Mytilida; Mytilidae
Source: RNAcentral
AAUUAGAGACAUUUACAGCCAAUUGCAUUGAGUGUGUAGGUAAGGCCAAUUGUUUAUUGCUUCUAAUUGUUAUACGCUAAUAUUUAUCUAUUCGGAAUGUGCAAGCUUGAAUAAACUGUUAUGGUCCUUAUGGUGGGAUUCUCCCUGUGUUUUUGAGAAUGUCGUUGUUUUUAGAAUAUACGAUAUUUCAGGGGCGUAGCUAGAAAGAAACGAUGUGGAAGCAAC